Non-coding RNA from Cricetulus griseus (Chinese hamster), 66 nucleotides. The record is from Rfam. NCBI's taxonomy places the organism in Eukaryota, Metazoa, Chordata, Mammalia, Rodentia, Cricetidae.
GUAAUGCUCAAAACCUGGCGGCACUUUGUUCCAAAACAAAAAGUGCUGCCAUUGUUUGAGUACCAC